GAUGAACGCUAGCUACAGGCUUAACACAUGCAAGUCGAGGGGAAACGGCAUUGAGUGCUUGCACUCUUUGGACGUCGACCGGCGCACGGGUGAGUAACGCGUAUCCAACCUUCCCAUUACUGUGGGAUAACCUGCCGAAAGGCAGACUAAUACCGCAUAGUCUUCGAUGACGGCAUCAGAUUUGAAGUAAAGAUUUAUCGGUAAUGGAUGGGGAUGCGUCUGAUUAGCUUGUUGGUGGGGUAACGGCCCACCAAGGCAACGAUCAGUAGGGGUUCUGAGAGGAAGGUCCCCCACAUUGGAACUGAGACACGGUCCAAACUCCUACGGGAGGCAGCAGUGAGGAAUAUUGGUCAAUGGACGGAAGUCUGAACCAGCCAAGUAGCGUGCAGGAUGACGGCCCUAUGGGUUGUAAACUGCUUUUGUAUGGGGAUAAAGUUAGGGACGUGUCCCUAUUUGCAGGUACCAUACGAAUAAGGACCGGCUAAUUCCGUGCCAGCAGCCGCGGUAAUACGGAAGGUCCAGGCGUUAUCCGGAUUUAUUGGGUUUAAAGGGAGCGUAGGCUGGAGAUUAAGUGUGUUGUGAAAUGUAGACGCUCAACGUCUGAAUUGCAGCGCAUACUGGUUUCCUUGAGUACGCACAACGUUGGCGGAAUUCGUCGUGUAGCGGUGAAAUGCUUAGAUAUGACGAAGAACUCCGAUUGCGAAAGCAGCUGACGGGAGCGCAACUGACGCUAAGCUCGAAGGUGCGGGUAUCAAACAGG
Molecule: ribosomal RNA, 760 nt
Filed under: Prevotella melaninogenica
Lineage: Bacteria; Pseudomonadati; Bacteroidota; Bacteroidia; Bacteroidales; Prevotellaceae
Description: bacterial SSU rRNA
Rfam family: Bacterial small subunit ribosomal RNA
Source: RNAcentral